UACGUAGGCAGCAAGCGUUGUUCGGAGUUACUGGGCGUAAAGAGUGCGUAGGUGGUGCCCUAAGUCUGUUGUGAAAUCUCCCGGCUUAACUGGGAGGGUGCGGUGGAAACUGGGGUGCUUGAGUGUGGGAGAGGUAAGCGGAAUUCCUGGUGUAGCGGUGAAAUGCGUAGAUAUCAGGAAGAACACCCAUGGCGAAGGCAGCUCUCUGGGACGGUACUGACGCUGAGACGCGAAAGCGUGGGGAGCGAACAGG
Molecule: ribosomal RNA, 253 nt
Filed under: uncultured bacterium
Lineage: Bacteria
Description: partial 16S ribosomal RNA
Rfam family: Bacterial small subunit ribosomal RNA
Source: RNAcentral